AGAGAGAGACAUGCGCGCAUAUCAAUAAGCGGAGGAAAAGAAACUAACAAGGAUUCCCUUAGUAACGGCGAGUGAAGCGGGAAGAGCUCAAAUUUGAAAUCUUCAAGGUUUUACCUUGACGAAUUGUAGUUUAAAGAAGUGUUUUCUGCUGAAGUUUUGGUAAAAGUUCUUUGGAAUAGGACAUCAUAGAGGGUGAGAAUCCCGUAUUUGACCAUUAUUUUCAGCUUUGUGAUACACUUUCAAAGAGUCGGAUUGUUUGGGAAUGCAGUCCAAAAUGGGUGGUAAAUUUCAUCUAAAGCUAAAUAUUGGCGAGAGACCGAUAGCGAACAAGUACCGUGAGGGAAAGAUGAAAAGAACUUUGAAAAGAGAGUUAAACAGUACGUGAAAUUGUCAAAAGGGAAGCGUUUGACACCAGUGUUGUUUUCUCGAAAAUCAAUUAAAAAUGGCUCGAUUUUGUAUUGCUUGAGACCUUAAAAGCUCACUGUACAUUUUUCGUGUCUUUUUUAAUGCACUUCUCGUUUAACAAGUCAACAUCAGUUUCUUUUGUUGUAAAAGGGUCAUUGGAAGGUGGCUUUCUUUUCGGAGAAAGUGUUUAUAGCCUUUGGCCUCUGCAAUCGGAGAGACUGAGGUCUGCAGCGUAGACUCUUCGGGGUUAGAUACAUUUGUGCUAAGUUAUAGCUUUUUAUAGACAACUUGUUGACUAUAAUUAGUCUUGUAGCUUACUCGCUUAUGCUAUUUUACCUACGCUUAGGAUGUUGAAGAUGUAGCACAUCAU
This 775-nucleotide ribosomal RNA is filed under the name uncultured Neocallimastigales. RNAcentral describes it as "partial large subunit ribosomal RNA". It matches the Rfam family "Eukaryotic large subunit ribosomal RNA", at positions 23 to 620 of the family's 3401-position model. The record is from RNAcentral. Lineage: Eukaryota; Fungi; Neocallimastigomycota; Neocallimastigomycetes; Neocallimastigales.